RNAcentral lists this ribosomal RNA (435 nucleotides) under uncultured bacterium. RNAcentral describes it as "partial 16S ribosomal RNA". It matches the Rfam family "Bacterial small subunit ribosomal RNA", at positions 29 to 507 of the family's 1533-position model. The record is from RNAcentral.
AGCGAACGCUGGCGGCAGGCUUAACACAUGCAAGUCGAACGGGCAUAGCAAUCUUUCAGUGGCAGACGGGUGAGUAACGCGUUGGAACGUACCUUUUGGUUCGGAACAACACAGGGAAACUUGUUCUAAUACCUGAUAAGCCCUUACGGUGAAAGAUUUAUCUCCGAAAGAUCGGCCCGCGUCUGAUUAGCUAGUUGGUAGGGUAAUGGCCUACCAAGGCGACGAUCAGUAGCUGGUCUGAGAGGAUGAUCAGCCACAUUGGGACUGAGACACGGCCCAAACUCGUACGGGAGGCAGCAGUGGGGAAUAUUGGGCAAUGGGCGAAAGCCUGAUCCAGCCAUGCCGCGUGAGUGAUGAAGGCCGUAGGGUUGUAAAGCUCUUUUGUGCGGGAAGAUAAUGACGGUACCGCAAGAAUAAGCCCCGGCUAACUUCGUG